CUCAACUGCUUAUACUGAAAAGGAAAAAGAAUAAGACACAUCUCUUUAGUUGAAACAGAGGCAAGACCUGAGAGACUAGUUCAGUUUUUUUUUCUUCUCAAGCUUGGACCUUGUUAGACUUGAGUGGCUUCACAACCUCCCAGGUGAAGUCAGCAUCGUCCCUUCCAAAAUGACCAUAAGCAGCAGUCUUCAAGAACCUACCAUUACCACCUCUCUUCAAAUCCAAGUUGAUCGAAAUCAUCCCCGGUCUGAAGUCAAAACUCUCCUUCACAAUCUCAAGAAUCUCCUUGUCUGGUAUCUUCCCUGUUCCGUAGCUGUCCACGAACACAGACAACGGCUCAGGGACACCAAUGGCGUACGAGACCUGCACAAUGCAACGCCUCGCUAGCCCACUGGCAACAAUACUCUUAGCCGCUUGCCUCACGAUGUAGGCACCGCUCCUGUCGACCUUGGUCGGGUCCUUCCCGGAGAAAGCGCCACCUCCGUGCGCGCCCCAACCACCGUAAGUGUCGAUGAUGAUCUUACGCCCGGUGAGUCCAGCGUCACCGUGAGGACCUCCGAUGACAAACCGACCAGAAGGGUUGAGAUGGAAGAUUGUCUUCUCGUCAAGGUACUUCUCUGGGAUCACUUUGAUCACUCAUUAGCCAAAACAUUUGACAUUUGAUAAUGCAAUACAAGGGAUGAUAAUAUUGAAUAUAAUCUAUAUAUAUAAUUCUCUAGUGAAAAGACAAGAAAAUACAAAAUAUGACUUUUAACUUUCUUACCACAACAAUAACAUACAAGGAUGAUAAUAUUGAAUAUAAUCUUUCAUAUAUCUUCUGAAAAGAAACAAGAGAUACAAAAUAUGACUUUUAACUUUCUUACCACAACAAUAACAUAUGAUAAUAAAUAAUAAUAAUAUAAAUUCUCAACUGCUUAUACUGAAAAGGAAAAAGAAUAAGACACAUCUCUUUAGUUGAAACAGAGGCAAGACCUGAGAGACUAGUUCAGUUUUUUUUUCUUCUCAAGCUUGGACCUUGUUAGACUUGAGUGGCUUCACAACCUCCCAGGUGAAGUCAGCAUCGUCCCUUCCAAAAUGACCAUAAGCAGCAGUCUUCAAGAACCUACCAUUACCACCUCUCUUCAAAUCCAAGUUGAUCGAAAUCAUCCCCGGUCUGAAGUCAAAACUCUCCUUCACAAUCUCAAGAAUCUCCUU
Molecule: long non-coding RNA, 1195 nt
Filed under: Brassica napus (rape)
Lineage: Eukaryota; Viridiplantae; Streptophyta; Magnoliopsida; Brassicales; Brassicaceae
Description: long non-coding RNA (BNAP_LNC002616)
Source: RNAcentral